UGCAUUCACUACUGUAAGUCACUCUGGAUAAGAGUGUCUGCUAAGUGACUAAAA
Non-coding RNA from Salmo salar (Atlantic salmon), 54 nucleotides. NCBI's taxonomy places the organism in Eukaryota, Metazoa, Chordata, Actinopteri, Salmoniformes, Salmonidae. The record is from Rfam.